AAUGGCUGCAGUAAUAUAACUGUACAAAGGUAGCAUAAUCAUUAGUUUUUUAAUUAAAAGCUUGUAUGAAAGGUUGGACGAAGUAAAAUCUGUCUCUUUUUAAUAUAAUUAGAAUUUAAUUUUUAAGUCAGAAAGCUUAAAUAUUUUUAAAAGACGAGAAGACCCUAUAGAGUUUAAUAAUUUAUUUUAAAUAAUUAAUUUAGAUUUAUUUAUUUUAUUUAUUAUAAAAUUAUUUUAUUGGGGUAAUAGAAAGAUUAAUAUAAUUCUUUUUUUUUAUUUACAUUAAUAUAUGAAUUAAAUGAUCCAUUUUUUAUGAUUAAAAGAUUAAAUUACCUUAGGGAUAACAGCGUAAUUUUUUUUAAGAGUUCAUAUCGAUAAAAAAGUUUGCGACCUCGAUGUUGGAUUAAAGAUUAAUUUAGGUGUAGAAGUUUAAAUUUUUGGUCUGUUCGACCAUUAAAUCUUUACAUGAUCUGAGUUCAAACCGGUGUAAGCCAGGUUGGUUUCUAUCUUUAAAAAAUUUUUAUAUUUUAGUACGAAAGGACCAAAUAUUUAAUAUAUUAAAUAUUUAAUUAUUUUGAAUAU
This 582-nucleotide ribosomal RNA is filed under the name Anophthalmus ravasinii. Its description in RNAcentral is "partial 16S ribosomal RNA". The stretch from base 340 to 498 matches the Rfam family "Bacterial large subunit ribosomal RNA", at positions 2473 to 2632 of the family's 2925-position model. RNAcentral also lists the same sequence under 3 other names. Lineage: Eukaryota; Metazoa; Arthropoda; Insecta; Coleoptera; Carabidae. The record is from RNAcentral.